GAGCGAACAGAUGAGAAGCUUGCUUCUCUGAUGUUAGCGGCGGACGGGUGAGUAACACGUGGGUAACCUACCUAUAAGACUGGGAUAACUCCGGGAAACCGGGGCUAAUACCGGAUAAUAUUUUGAACCGCAUGGUUCAAUAGUGAAAGACGGUUUCGGCUGUCACUUAUAGAUGGACCCGCGCCGUAUUAGCUAGUUGGUAAGGUAACGGCUUACCAAGGCGACGAUACGUAGCCGACCUGAGAGGGUGAUCGGCCACACUGGAACUGAGACACGGUCCAGACUCCUACGGGAGGCAGCAGUAGGGAAUCUUCCGCAAUGGGCGAAAGCCUGACGGAGCAACGCCGCGUGAGUGAUGAAGGUCUUCGGAUCGUAAAACUCUGUUGUUAGGGAAGAACAAAUUUGUUAGUAACUGAACAAGUCUUGACGGUACCUAACCAGAAAGCCACGGCUAACUACGUGCCAGCAGCCGCGGUAAUACGUAGGUGGCAAGCGUUAUCCGGAAUUAUUGGGCGUAAAGCGCGCGUAGGCGGUUUCUUAAGUCUGAUGUGAAAGCCCACGGCUCAACCGUGGAGGGUCAUUGGAAACUGGGAAACUUGAGUGCAGAAGAGGAGAGUGGAAUUCCAUGUGUAGCGGUGAAAUGCGCAGAGAUAUGGAGGAACACCAGUGGCGAAGGCGGCUCUCUGGUCUG
This 691-nucleotide ribosomal RNA is filed under the name uncultured bacterium. Its description in RNAcentral is "bacterial SSU rRNA". It matches the Rfam family "Bacterial small subunit ribosomal RNA", at positions 64 to 736 of the family's 1533-position model. The record is from RNAcentral.